GACGAACGCUGGCGGCGUGCUUAACACAUGCAAGUCGAACGGUAAGGCCCUUCGGGGUACACGAGUGGCGAACGGGUGGGUAACACGUGGGUGAUCUGCCCUGCACUUCGGGAUAAGCCUGGGAAACUGGGUCUAAUACCGGAUAGGACCCUGGGAUGCAUGUCCUGGGGUGGAAAGCUUUUGCGGUGUGGGAUGGGCCCGCGGCCUAUCAGCUUGUUGGUGGGGUGAUGGCCUACCAAGGCGACGACGGGUAGCCGGCCUGAGAGGGAGACCGGGCACAGUGGGACUGAGAUACGGCCCAGACUCCUUCGGGAGGCAGGAGUGGGGAAUAUUGCACAAUGGGCGCAAGCCUGAUGCAGCGACGCCGCGUGAGGGAUGACGGCCUUCGGGUUGUAAACCUCUUUCAGCACCGACGAAGCGCAAGUGACGGUAGGUGCAGAAGAAGGACCGGCCAACUACGUGCCAGCCGCCGCCGUAA
Molecule: ribosomal RNA, 478 nt
Filed under: uncultured bacterium
Lineage: Bacteria
Description: partial 16S ribosomal RNA
Rfam family: Bacterial small subunit ribosomal RNA
Source: RNAcentral